UUUCCGUAGGUGAACCUGCGGAAGGAUCAUUAUAAAUGAAAAACGAAUAACUUCAGGGAAGAAGGGAACCUGCACGGUGACCUCCCCUGUCGGGCCACCCAAUACCUUCAGAAUGCCGCCGUCCUAGCGGUGGCAGACGAAAAAAAAACAAGAAAAACAAAAUAGAAACAGGCACGGUGGCCCGUUCACCUUCACACAACCCUCCGAGUACCGCUUCCAUGUUGCUUCCCCGCGAAUCCACCUCUUUGGUGAGCGCGGGGGAGGUCCGCAUCAAAUUCACCUGAAUGUCACAGGAGUCAGACGGGCAUUCAUGGAAACAAUAAAACUUUCAACAACGGAUCUCUUGGUUCCC
This 352-nucleotide unclassified non-coding RNA is filed under the name plant metagenome. RNAcentral describes it as "partial contains small subunit ribosomal RNA, internal transcribed spacer 1, and 5.8S ribosomal RNA". The record is from RNAcentral.